AGCCAGACUCCUACGGGAGGCAGCAGUGGGGGAUAUUGCACAAUGGGGGAAACCCUGAUGCAGCGACGCCGCGUGGGUGAAGAAGUAUUUCGGUAUGUAAAGCCCUAUCAGCAGGGAAGAAAGAAGACGGUACCUGACUAAGAAGCCCCGGCUAACUACGUGCCAGCAGCCGCGGUAAUACGUAGGGGGCGAGCGUUAUCCGGAUUCACUGGGUGUAAAGGGAGCGUAGACGGCCGUGCAAGCCAGGAGUGAAAGCCCGGGGCCCAACCCCGGGACUGCUCUUGGAACUGUGCGGCUAGAGUGCGGGAGGGGCAGGCGGAAUUCCUGGUGUAGCGGUGAAAUGCGUAGAUAUCAGGAGGAACACCGGUGGCGAAGGCGGCCUGCUGGACUGCGACUGACGUUGAGGCCCGAAAGCGUGGGGAGCAAACAGGAUUAGAUACCCCCGUA
This 447-nucleotide ribosomal RNA is filed under the name uncultured bacterium. RNAcentral describes it as "partial 16S ribosomal RNA". It matches the Rfam family "Bacterial small subunit ribosomal RNA", at positions 329 to 792 of the family's 1533-position model. The record is from RNAcentral.